This 253-nucleotide ribosomal RNA is filed under the name uncultured bacterium. RNAcentral's name for it is "partial 16S ribosomal RNA". It matches the Rfam family "Archaeal small subunit ribosomal RNA", at positions 474 to 727 of the family's 1478-position model. The record is from RNAcentral.
UGCCCGCAGCACAAGUGGUGGUCAUUAUUAUUGGGCCUAAAGCGUCCGUAGCUGGCUUGUUAGAUGCCUGGGUAAAUCGAUGCGCUCAACGUAUCGAACACCGGGUAGACCGGCAAGCUUGGGACCGGGAGAGACGUGAGCUACUCGAGGGGUAGGGGUAAAAUCCUGUAAUCCUUCGGGGAGGACCAGUGGCGAAGGCGUCACGUUAGAACGGCUCCGACAGUGAGGGACGAAGCCCUGGGGCGCAAACCGG